Molecule: unclassified non-coding RNA, 184 nt
Filed under: uncultured fungus
Lineage: Eukaryota; Fungi
Description: sequence contains ITS1, 5.8S rRNA gene
Source: RNAcentral
UUGAAUGAAUUUAGGAGUUGGUUUGAUGCUGGCCGACAACCCCAAGGGCAUGUGCACGCCUUCUCCUUCAUCCACACACACCCCUGUGCACUUGUGAGACGGAGGAUUAAUUUCCUCCGUCUACUAAUCACACAAACUCAUUGUAAUUGAACUGAAUGUAAUUGAUGUAACACAUCAUUUGAAC